UACGAAGGUCCCGAGCGUUAUCCGGAUUUAUUGGGUUUAAAGGGUGCGUAGGCGGGUUAUUAAGUCAGUGGUGAAAGCCUACAGCUUAACUGUAGAAUUGCCAUUGAUACUGAUGAUCUUGAGUAUGAUUGAGGUGGGCGGAAUGUGUCAUGUAGCGGUGAAAUGCUUAGAUAUGACACAGAACACCGAUUGCGAAGGCAGCUCACUAAGCCAUAACUGACGCUGAUGCACGAAAGCGUGGGGAGCAAACAGG
RNAcentral lists this ribosomal RNA (253 nucleotides) under uncultured bacterium. Its description in RNAcentral is "partial 16S ribosomal RNA". It matches the Rfam family "Bacterial small subunit ribosomal RNA", at positions 524 to 776 of the family's 1533-position model. RNAcentral also lists the same sequence under 1 other name. The record is from RNAcentral.